GAAACCCGGUGAUCUAGCCAUGGGCAGGUUGAAGGUUGGGUAACACUAACUGGAGGACCGAACCGACUAAUGUUGAAAAAUUAGCGGAUGACUUGUGGCUGGGGGUGAAAGGCCAAUCAAACCGGGAGAUAGCUGGUUCUCCCCGAAAGCUAUUUAGGUAGCGCCUCGUGAAUUCAUCUCCGGGGGUAGAGCACUGUUUCGGCAAGGGGGUCAUCCCGACUUACCAACCCGAUGCAAACUGCGAAUACCGGAGAAUGUUAUCACGGGAGACACACGGCGGGUGCUAACGUCCGUCGUGAAGAGGGAAACAACCCAGACCGCCAGCUAAGGUCCCAAAGUCAUGGUUAAGUGGGAAACGAUGUGGGAAGGCCCAGACAGCCAGGAUGUUGGCUUAGAAGCAGCCAUCAUUUAAAGAAAGCGUAAUAGCUCACUGGUCGAGUCGGCCUGCGCGGAAGAUGUAACGGGGCUAAACCAUGCACCGAAGCUGCGGCAGCGACACUAUGUGUUGUUGGGUAGGGGAGCGUUCUGUAAGCCUGUGAAGGUGGCCUGUGAGGGUUGCUGGAGGUAUCAGAAGUGCGAAUGCUGACAUAAGUAACGAUAAAGCGGGUGAAAAGCCCGCUCGCCGGAAGACCAAGGGUUCCUGUCCAACGUUAAUCGGGGCAGGGUGAGUCGACCCCUAAGGCGAGGCCGAAAGGCGUAGUCGAUGGGAAACAGGUUAAUAUUCCUGUACUUGGUGUUACUGCGAAGGGGGGACGGAGAAGGCUAUGUUGGCCGGGCGACGGUUGUCCCGGUUUAAGCGUGUAGGCUGGUUUUCCAGGCAAAUCCGGAAAACCAAGGCUGAGGCGUGAUGACGAGGCACUACGGUGCUGAAGCGACAAAUGCCCUGCUUCCAGGAAAAGCCUCUAAGCAUCAGGUAACAUCAAAUCGUACCCCAAACCGACACAGGUGGUCAGGUAGAGAAUACCAAGGCGCUUGAGAGAACUCGGGUGAAGGAACUAGGCAAAAUGGUGCCGUAACUUCGGGAGAAGGCACGCUGAUAUGUAGGUGAAGCGACUUGCUCGUGGAGCUGAAAUCAGUCGAAGAUACCAGCUGGCUGCAACUGUUUAUUAAAAACACAGCACUGUGCAAACACGAAAGUGGACGUAUACGGUGUGACGCCUGCCCGGUGCCGGAAGGUUAAUUGAUGGGGUUAGCGGUAACGCGAAGCUCUUGAUCGAAGCCCCGGUAAACGGCGGCCGUAACUAUAACGGUCCUAAGGUAGCGAAAUUCCUUGUCGGGUAAGUUCCGACCUGCACGAAUGGCGUAAUGAUGGCCAGGCUGUCUCCACCCGAGACUCAGUGAAAUUGAACUCGCUGUGAAGAUGCAGUGUACCCGCGGCAAGACGGAAAGACCCCGUGAACCUUUACUAUAGCUUGACACUGAACAUUGAGCCUUGAUGUGUAGGAUAGGUGGGAGGCUUUGAAGUGUGGACGCCAGUCUGCAUGGAGCCGACCUUGAAAUACCACCCUUUAAUGUUUGAUGUUCUAACGUUGGCCCCUAAUCGGGGUUGCGGACAGUGUCUGGUGGGUAGUUUGACUGGGGCGGUCUCCUCCUAAAGAGUAACGGAGGAGCACGAAGGUUGGCUAAUCCUGGUCGGACAUCAGGAGGUUAGUGCAAUGGCAUAAGCCAGCUUGACUGCGAGCGUGACGGCGCGAGCAGGUGCGAAAGCAGGUCAUAGUGAUCCGGUGGUUCUGAAUGGAAGGGCCAUCGCUCAACGGAUAAAAGGUACUCCGGGGAUAACAGGCUGAUACCGCCCAAGAGUUCAUAUCGACGGCGGUGUUUGGCACCUCGAUGUCGGCUCAUCACAUCCUGGGGCUGAAGUAGGUCCCAAGGGUAUGGCUGUUCGCCAUUUAAAGUGGUACGCGAGCUGGGUUUAGAACGUCGUGAGACAGUUCGGUCCCUAUCUGCCGUGGGCGCUGGAGAACUGAGGGGGGCUGCUCCUAGUACGAGAGGACCGGAGUGGACGCAUCACUGGUGUUCGGGUUGUCAUGCCAAUGGCACUGCCCGGUAGCUAAAUGCGGAAGAGAUAAGUGCUGAAAGCAUCUAAGCACGAAACUUGCCCCGAGAUGAGUUCUCCCUGAGACUUAGAGUCUCCUGAAGGAACGUUGAAGACGACGACGUUGAUAGGCCGGGUGUGUAAGCGCAGCGAUGCGUUGAGCUAACCGGUACUAAUGAACCGUGAGGCUUAACCUUACAACGCCGAAG
Molecule: ribosomal RNA, 2244 nt
Filed under: Escherichia coli
Lineage: Bacteria; Pseudomonadati; Pseudomonadota; Gammaproteobacteria; Enterobacterales; Enterobacteriaceae
Description: partial 23S ribosomal RNA
Rfam family: Bacterial large subunit ribosomal RNA
Source: RNAcentral